AAUACAGGAUGCCCAGUUAAAUUUGAAUUUUAGAUAAACAGCAAAUAUUUUUACUUGUUUCUUAAAUAUGCCCCAUGCAACAUUUGGAACAUACUUAUACUAAAAAGUUGUUUGUUAUUUAUCUGAAAUUCAAAUUUAACUUAGUGUCAUGUAUUUU
RNAcentral lists this microRNA precursor (157 nucleotides) under Ovis aries (sheep). Its description in RNAcentral is "miRNA (ENSOARG00000022113.1)". The record is from RNAcentral. Lineage: Eukaryota; Metazoa; Chordata; Mammalia; Artiodactyla; Bovidae.